CCUACGGGUGGCAGCAGUGGGGAAUAUUGGACAAUGGGGGCAACCCUGAUCCAGCCAUGCCGCGUGUGUGAAGAAGGCCCUCGGGUUGUAAAGCACUUUCAGUGAGGAAGAACGCCUGGUGGUUAAUACCCAUCAGGAAAGACAUCACUCACAGAAGAAGCACCGGCUAACUCCGUGCCAGCAGCCGCGGUAAUACGGAGGGUGCGAGCGUUAAUCGGAAUUACUGGGCGUAAAGCGCGCGUAGGUGGCUUGAUAAGCCGGUUGUGAAAGCCCCGGGCUCAACCUGGGAACGGCAUCCGGAACUGUCAAGCUAGAGUGCAGGAGAGGAAGGUAGAAUUCCCGGUGUAGCGGUGAAAUGCGUAGAGAUCGGGAGGAAUACCAGUGGCGAAGGCGGACUUCUGGACUGACACUGACACUGAGGUGCGAAAGCGUGGGUAGCAAACAGGAUUAGAUACCCGAGUAGUC
Molecule: ribosomal RNA, 465 nt
Filed under: Vreelandella stevensii
Lineage: Bacteria; Pseudomonadati; Pseudomonadota; Gammaproteobacteria; Oceanospirillales; Halomonadaceae
Description: partial 16S ribosomal RNA
Rfam family: Bacterial small subunit ribosomal RNA
Source: RNAcentral